Molecule: ribosomal RNA, 734 nt
Filed under: Pseudomonas putida
Lineage: Bacteria; Pseudomonadati; Pseudomonadota; Gammaproteobacteria; Pseudomonadales; Pseudomonadaceae
Description: bacterial SSU rRNA
Rfam family: Bacterial small subunit ribosomal RNA
Source: RNAcentral
CUGGUAGUGGGGGACAACGUUUCGAAAGGAACGCUAAUACCGCAUACGUCCUACGGGAGAAAGCAGGGGACCUUCGGGCCUUGCGCUAUCAGAUGAGCCUAGGUCGGAUUAGCUUGUUGGUGAGGUAAUGGCUCACCAAGGCGACGAUCCGUAACUGGUCUGAGAGGAUGAUCAGUCACACUGGAACUGAGACACGGUCCAGACUCCUACGGGAGGCAGCAGUGGGGAAUAUUGGACAAUGGGCGAAAGCCUGAUCCAGCCAUGCCGCGUGUGUGAAGAAGGUCUUCGGAUUGUAAAGCACUUUAAGUUGGGAGGAAGGGCAGUAAGCUAAUACCUUGCUGUUUUGACGUUACCGACAGAAUAAGCACCGGCUAACUCUGUGCCAGCAGCCGCGGUAAUACAGAGGGUGCAAGCGUUAAUCGGAAUUACUGGGCGUAAAGCGCGCGUAGGUGGUUUGUUAAGUUGGAUGUGAAAGCCCCGGGCUCAACCUGGGAACUGCAUCCAAAACUGGCAAGCUAGAGUACGGUAGAGGGUGGUGGAAUUUCCUGUGUAGCGGUGAAAUGCGUAUAUAUAGGAAGGAACACCAGUGGCGAAGGCGACCACCUGGACUGAUACUGACACUGAGGUGCGAAAGCGUGGGGAGCAAACGGGAUUAGAUACCCUGGUAGUCCACGCCGUAAACGAUGUCAACUAGCCUUUGGAAUCCUUGAGAUUUUAUUGGCGCACCUAACGCA